CCUACGGGUGGCUGCAGUGAGGAAUAUUGGUCAAUGGACGAAAGUCUGAACCAGCCAAGUCGCGUGAAGGAUGACUGCCCUAUGGGUUGUAAACUUCUUUUAUAUGGGAAUAAAACGUUCCACGUGUGGGAUUUUGUAUGUACCCUAUGAAUAAGGGUCGGCUAACUCCGUGCCAGCAGCCGCGGUAAUACGGAGGAUCCGAGCGUUCUCCGGAUUUCUUGGGUUUAAGGGGAGCGUAGGUGGAUGGUUAAGUCAGUUGUGAAAGUGUGCGGCUCAACCGGAAAAUUGCAGUUGAAACUGGCAGUCUUGAGUACAGUAGAGGUGGGCGGAAUUCGUGGUGUAGCGGUGAAAUGCUUAGAUAUCACGAAGAACUCCGAUGGCGAAGGCAGUUCACUGGACUGCAACUGACACUGAGGCGCGAAAGUGUGGGUAGCAAACAGGAUUAGAUACCCUAGUAGUC
Molecule: ribosomal RNA, 460 nt
Filed under: uncultured bacterium
Lineage: Bacteria
Description: partial 16S ribosomal RNA
Rfam family: Bacterial small subunit ribosomal RNA
Source: RNAcentral